GGGGAGUGGAUGGGCUUCAAGCUCACGACCAGUGGUUCCUUGGCAGGGGUCCCACCCUGCCCCUCCUGGGGCCUCUGGUCCAGGCUGUGUCCCAGAGGUGGCCCUGGCUAAUGGUGAUGCAGAUUAGGGGAGGGGGAGGGUGUGGCCUGGGGGAUUCACUCUUGCCUUUGCCCUGCCCACCAACACUGCGGCACUCUGCCGUUCAGCCCAGUUCCAAAUAAUGCCAGGCCCUGUGUCCUGUGCCGAGGAGCCAGCCCAGCGCAGUUCCUGCCCCCUGUACCCCACGGCAGGCACCGUGUGGGUUGAGGUCCAUCCAUUACCUCAACUACCCACUGAAACCCUCUGAGGGAGGGAACAUGUCCUCUCUUCACAGAUGUGGAAACUGAGGCUUAGAGAGGUCUACUGGUGAAGAGGGGCAGACCACUGGUCUUGCUGGUUCAAAAGCGUGUCCAUGAUGUGACACUGCCCUGGUUGAAUUUGACGUCUCUUUUUGCUGCCCUCAGAGGGACGCUGCCCACAGGCUGGUCCCACCUGCAGUUUAUCAUGGCACACACUCACUCAUCUCUCCCGCCCUUCCUCUUCCACCUCGCCAUGCGACAUGCUGUGUGCGUGCACACACACACACACCCUCCUGUGGAACAGCCAGGCCCCCAAGCUCAGCUGCUCUGCUACAGAGACACCCACAGGGCCAGAGCCCCGGCCACCACCGCCCUCCCCAGGGCACUCCAAGGGCUUUUUCCAGACUGGGGCUGUUCUGGUCCCUAGUAAACAGUGGAACAUCCGAGGGGCCCCAGAGGGGCUAAGCAUUCUGCCUGUGUUCCUCAGAGCCCUCAAGACAGACCCCAAGUGGAGAGCUGCAGGCUCAGUGCCACCCACGAUAACAUGACCUGGUGCCAGAGACCAAAGACCUGGGUUCUGGUCUGCCCCUGCCCUGCAAGCUGUCCCACUUUGAGCAAGUCAGCACCCCUCUCUGGAUGUGAAUUUCCUUGCUGGUUACUUGGGGAGGUUAGAGUGAUAAUCUCUCCAGCCACUCACACCUACCACACAGACGUGUGGAGCUUAGACAAGUCAGGGCACCAAGAGAUUCCUGGGAAAAGGAUCCACCUGCGCCACCCCAGCCAUGGGAGAGCAGGGGGCAGACAGCUCCCAAAAAGGCCCCAUGCCUCGUGGACCUGCCCAGAGACCCGCAAGACUCACUGCUGCAGGAGACAGGGUGGAGCCUUGGGCAGCUUCUCAGAAAUAUAGCAACCCCCUGCCCUCCCAGGACAUAAUCUGAGCAAUUUUCUGGCUUUGAAGACUUUCCGUGACUUGUCCCCACACCCUCUCCAGACCCUUCUCCUACUUCCCUGCCCCUUCCCAGUCCACAGAUCCAGCCACACCUCAGGGGGUCCUUAACUCCACUCCCUUGGGUUAGGAGCAGCAUCAGCCUCUGCCACAGGCCAUGCACUCCAGUAGACAAGACUGUUCCUUCGCCUCAGUUCCCCAGACAUGUUCAUUAGAGUUUUGGCCACUAACCAUCUCCUAGCAUCUACCCAGAGGCCUCCAGCGCUGCCUGGCUGCCUGCAUUACCACCCACACAACCAUACCUGGGGCCUGUCCGGAGGCCUCUGUGCCAGAUUCCCUGUACCGUGUUAUACCUGGGCCCCUGUGCGACAUUCUACCAUUUUAAAGACCAAGAGAGGCUUCGGUUGACCAAAUCUUUCCAUGUAAGGAGUCCUCAGGGAAAACAAAUUCUGAACCAUGAAGUCAGGUUGGGAGCCCCUAGUGGCCUGGGACCCAGCCAAGCCCAGAACCCAGACUGGGGGAAAAUGUGGGUGGAUCCCCCGCAGCACCACACACAGAACCUCAGCCUAUCACAGCUCCAAUGGGCCUUAAGCGUCUCCUCCAGAGGUGGCUUUCAAAGUGGGAAGGAGAGAGGGCAGUUCCUUCUGUUUCCAGAGAGCCACCCCUCCAUGUCCAGGACCCACCCCACACUCAGCCUGCUGACCCGCUCCAGCGGUGUCCACCGUGCCUGCACCUUAGCACCCCCUGAGCGGCUUUUACAACAGGUCCAUGCCCAGGCUCCACGUGGGCCAUCAGAAUCAGAACUCUUGGUCUUUAAAAUGCUAGAAUGUUGCACCCAUGGACCUGGGUGUGACCUGGGCAUCAGUAUUUUUCAAGAGCUCCUCAGGUGCUUUUACGCAGCAGGCCAGUCUAUGAACACUUGAUCUCAUCCAACCAACUCACCUGUUUAACAGAUGGCGGUACUGUUGUUUAUUUGAACCCAUCUUCUCUCCUUUGCUAGACUAUGCUGGUUCACCUCUGGAUCUGCUUUCCCACCCCCAGCUGGCUUUCCUAUAACGGCCAUAAAGGGCUGGAAGCAGAUUGGUGAGCACUUGUUUGUGCCAAGUGGUUCUUAUGCCUGCCCUUAUUUAAUCCUCACAAUGGCCCUGCAUGGUUGAUGUUCCCAUCCCCAUUUACAGGUGAAAAAACUGAGAAGCAGAGGCAAGAAGUCUCUCAGGGUCACACAGUGAACCAGUGGAGGAGCAGGAAUUGGACCCCAUUCCAAAGCCACAGGGCUUCCUGGGGCCUGGUGCAGAGAAGCAGAACUGCCCAUGUCAGUAGCAGGUCCCUUGAGCUCUGCCCUGAAGCCUCCACAGAAGAACCCAAGUUGGAACCUCCAGGCACCAAUUCAUCCCCCAUCUUGCCUUGAUUUCCUGACUGUUCUUGUCCACAUCCACAGAGUUGUCGUCCAGGGAGUUGACGCUGUAAGAGAGGUGAUGGAGCUCAGGUGUUGGCAGGCCCAGUCCUCCCUUACUGUGCCCAAGAACCACCACCUCCAUCACCACCAUCACCAUCACCACGACUACCACCAUCAUCACCAUCACCACCACCACCAUCAUCACAACUACCAUCAUCACUACCAUCAGCACCAUCACCAUCACCUCAACACCAACACCACCACCACCACUAUCAUCAUAAUCACUAUCACCACCACCAUCACCAUCACCUCAACACCAACACCACCACCACCACCGUCAUCAUCCAUCAUCACCACCAUCACCAUCACCUCAACACCAACACCACCACCACCAUCAUCAUCAUAACCAUCACCACCACCAUCACCAUCACUACCAUCACCAUCACCACCAUCACCUCAACACCAACACCACCACCACCACCAUCACCAUCACCACCAUCACCAUCACCACCAUCAUCACCUCAACACCAACACCACCACCACCAUCAUCAUUGUCAUCAUCACCAUCAUCACCACCAUCACCAUCAGCACCAUCAUCACCUCAACACCAACACCACCACCACCAUCAUCAUUGUCAUCAUCACCAUCAUCACCACCAUCACCAUCACUACCAUCACCAUCACCACCACCAUCACCACCACCACCACGAUAACUGCCACCACUACCAUGACCACCAUGACCACCACCAUCACCAUUGCCACCACCAUCACCCACCACCACUACCAUCACCACCAUCACCUCAACACCAACACCACCACCACCACCACCGUCAUCAUCACCAUCAUCACCACCAUCACCAUCACAACCAUCACCAUCACCUCAACACCAACACCAUCAUCACCACCAUCACCAUCACAACCAUCACCAUCACCUCAACACCAACACCAUCAUCACCACCAUCACCAUCACAACCAUCACCAUCACCUCAACACCAACACCACCACCACCACCACCAUCGUCAUCAUCACCAUCAUCACCACCAUCACCAUCACAACCAUCACCAUCACCUCAACACCAACACCAUCAUCACCACCAUCAUUGUUGUCAUCAUCACCACUGUCACCAUUGCUACCAUCACCAUCACCUCACUACCAUCACCACCACCACCAUAACUACCACUACUACCAUGACCACACCAUCACCAUUGUCAUCACCAUCAUCACCACCAACACCAUCACCACCACCACCGUCACUACCUGUACCACCACCACCACCUAGCCUGGCUGUGAGGGGCACUGCUCACCUGACAGAGUCCAGGUCAUUGGAGGGAGAGAGGUACUCCAAGCCCAGGUCUUUGUUGGGGAGGUUCAGCAUGGGGUUGGCUCUGGAGAGAAAGCCUGGUCAAGUUGCCUGGCCCUCAGCCACCCCACCAGGCCUCUUACCUACCCUUUGACCCCUGCUCACCGCUCAGUGUUGUACAUGUUAGUCCCUGGGAUGGCAGGGGCUGAGGGCAUCACCCCUGCUGCUGUCUUCCUGGCCUCCUUGGCAGCCUUCAUAGCUUGAAGCUUCCGGUUGUAGCUGUGGGGAACCGGAAGAGGGGUCACACUGUUGCUGCACACCUGUUGUGUCCCCAGUGGAGGCCCUGAGCCUGUGGCUUCACAAGAUCCCGGGAGGUGAGUGUUAGCUCUAUUUUACAGAGGGUAGAAGUAAGAGCCAGAGAAGGCAAGUGAUUUGCCAAAGGUCAAAUAGCCAGUGACAAGGCUUGAAGUCAAGCCCAGAUACGGCUGCUGACUCUAUACAUGUUGGAAAAAGCAGCAGCAUCUAUUAAACGCAUAGUGUGUGCCAGACGUCUAGCUGGGUGUGAGAUGCAUGUUACUUCCUUGAGUGCACUGAGGAAUCAAGUCUCAUGCCCUUUCACAGAUAAGGAAACUGAGGCCCGUGGAGGGGAGGUGACUCACCCAAGAUCUCGCACUGGGUCACUGGGGAGUGAAUGCAUGUAUACCUGUGCCUAAGCCCCAGCUCCUUCUACCCCUACCCCCCGACGUCUUGGGUGGUGGGAGAGGGUGAAGGUUGGAGACACGGGGGCAAUGGGAGCCGCACCUCUUCCGCACACACACGAAGGCCAUGGUCAUGAUCACAAGGACCAGCAGCAAAGCCACUCCCAAUCCUAUGAUGACACUGAUGAGCUGUUUCGACAGGUCUGACUCCUGGCUCUCCUGGGAGCCCUGGAGAAAGAUGAGUGUGAGGGAAGCACACUCGUCUUCAGCAGCCCCACCUGCUGCCCCGCCCUGCCCGCACUCACCAGCACCACCAGCCCCAGCUGCAGCAGCUGCGUCAGCGAGUCCUGAUCAUUCCGGAUCAUCCUGGCCACAGAACUCCACUUAGGCCCGAGGGACCUUGGCACACCCCAGGCUUCCUGCUCACCCUCACACCUGCCCCAAGGGCAGCCCCACUCACACACUCAGCUCAUCAAGGGUCAGGGCUGACCCAUUGGGGAAGACAAAGUAGGCAUCGAGGUAGGAGUGAGGUCGGGCCCUGGAGCGGGACAGAGUUGAAGAGUCAGGAGCCUGGAUCACCCAGCAGGCCCCUCCUGCUACCGCUUCUCCCCCUCAACCCCACCCCCAGGCCUCUGGGCACUCACCGAGCUGCAGAAUCUAUGUCCUGAAUGUCCACAAUGUAUACUGUAGUCCUGGUUGCCUGGGUAAGAGCCCUGCAAAGAAGGCAGAUGUCACAGAGGCCUGGGGUCUUAGCCUGGGCCUGUGGCCAGGGCUGUGCCAGUGGGAUUAAGAAUUGUAUGAGUGAGAAAGGGC
This 5490-nucleotide long non-coding RNA is filed under the name Homo sapiens (human). Its description in RNAcentral is "non-protein coding lnc-GPRIN1-3:1". The record is from RNAcentral. Lineage: Eukaryota; Metazoa; Chordata; Mammalia; Primates; Hominidae.